UACGGGGGGGGUAAGCGUUGUUCGGAAUUACUGGGCGUAAAGGGCUCGUAGGCGGCCAACUAAGUCAUACGUGAAAUCCCUCAGCUUAACUGGGGAACUGCGUCUGAUACUGGAUGGCUUGGAUUUGGGAGAGGGAUGCGGAAUUCCAGGUGUAGCGGUGAAAUGCGUAGAUAUCUGGAGGAACACCGGUGGCGAAGGCGGCGUUCUGGACUGCUACUGACACUGAGGAACGAAAGCCAGGGGAGCAAACGGG
Molecule: ribosomal RNA, 253 nt
Filed under: uncultured prokaryote
Description: partial 16S ribosomal RNA
Rfam family: Bacterial small subunit ribosomal RNA
Source: RNAcentral